AACGCACCUUGCGCUCUUUGGUAUUCCGAAGAGCAUGCCUGUUUGAGUGUCAUUAAAUUCUCAACUAAUACCAUGUUUUCGAACGUGUGUUAUUAGCUUGGACUUUGGAGUGUGCCGGCCAAUCCUACGGUCGGCUCCUCUUUAAAUGCAUUAGCUGGAACCUCUUGUGGACCAGACUAUGGUGUGAUAAUUAUCUACGCUAUGGUUUGUGAAGCACUUUGUUAUGGGGUAUCAGCUUCUAACCGUCUUCGGACAAUCUUAUGACAUUUUGACCUCAAAUCAGGUAGGACUACCCGCUGAACUUAA
RNAcentral lists this unclassified non-coding RNA (306 nucleotides) under uncultured fungus. RNAcentral's name for it is "partial contains 5.8S ribosomal RNA, internal transcribed spacer 2, and large subunit ribosomal RNA". The stretch from base 1 to 52 matches the Rfam family "5.8S ribosomal RNA", at positions 103 to 154 of the family's 154-position model. RNAcentral also lists the same sequence under 1 other name. The record is from RNAcentral. Lineage: Eukaryota; Fungi.